UCCAGACUCCUACGGGAGGCAGCAGUGGGGGAUAUUGCACAAUGGGGGGAACCCUGAUGCAGCGACGCCGCGUGGGUGAAGGAGUAUUUCGGUAUGUAAAGCCCUAUCGGCAGGGAAGAAGCAAGACGGUACCUGACUAAGAAGCCCCGGCUAACUACGUGCCAGCAGCCGCGGUAAUACGUAGGGGGCGAGCGUUAUCCGGAUUCACUGGGGGUAAAGGGAGCGUAGACGGCCAUGCAAGCCAGGGGUGAAAGACCGGGGGCCAGCCCCGGGACUGCCCUUGGAACUGUGCGGCUAGAGUGCGGGAGGGGCAGGCGGAAUUCUUGGUGUAGCGGUGAAAUGCGUAGAUAUUAGGAGGAACACCAGUGGCGAAGGCGGCUUACUGGACUGUAACUGACGUUGAGGCUCGAAAGCGUGGGGAGCAAACAGGAUUAGAGACCCUGGUACAC
Molecule: ribosomal RNA, 449 nt
Filed under: uncultured bacterium
Lineage: Bacteria
Description: bacterial SSU rRNA
Rfam family: Bacterial small subunit ribosomal RNA
Source: RNAcentral